This is a non-coding RNA of Caenorhabditis elegans, 141 nucleotides long. Lineage: Eukaryota; Metazoa; Nematoda; Chromadorea; Rhabditida; Rhabditidae. The record is from Ensembl.
AAAAAACGACUAAACAGCAAAAAAUAAUAACGUAAAUAAGAGCAAACAUUUUCUUUUUGUUUCUCUUCCGUUGCAUAGAAAGUGAAAAUCGAGAAGAAUAAGAAGAUGGUCCCUUUCUCUAGUUCUUUCUGAAAAUGGAUA